CAUUUUAAAAGAAACCACCGUCAUUUACACUCACCGGCAGUUCGGCUCUCAGCUCUCAACUCUCCGAUGACAAUGUCGAUCAAAACCCUUUUAACUCUUCGAUGACGAUGUCAAUCGAAACCACUUAAUCGAUUUUCCUGUCUUAGUACUUCGGCUCUCAACUCUCCGAUGACGAUGUCGAUCAAAACCCUUUUAACUCUCCGAUGACGAUGUCCAUCGGAAUCCCUAAAUCGAUUUUCCCGGCGAUCAAUCUAUUGGUGUUCUUUCCAUUAUCUACUAGAGUACUAGAGUAGAAUUCUUGUAUGCAUUCUACCCUUCUUUUUUUACAAAAAUCAAGAAGUUGGUAUCAAAAGAAGAAACCCUAAACUAAUUUUCCCGCGGUUCUUAUCUGCUCAAGUAAUAGUACUGGUCUUCCCAGCGGAUGUUAAAGAUGUUCAAGAAUUUGUUUGAACUUUUUUAGGGAGUCAAAAGAUGUACAUGCGAUGGGGAGUCAAAAGAAGAAUUUGCACGAACGAUAUCUCAAAGUUUCUUCGUUUAUGGGACAAAAUGGAAGGACUGCAGUCCAGAGAUUACAAUUGAGUACCUUAGCUAUAUCUCAGAUAUUUUUGUGACUUGUUCUCUAUUUUGUUAAGAUGAUGGAAUUUUUUCUUCUCCAAUAUGAGUUGCAGAGCGGUACUGAACAGAGUAUCUGAAGAUUUAGGAUUACUGUACUCAAUGUAACUUUUGCGUCUUGCAUAUUUUUGGUGAUUCAUUGGUUCCUUAUUCCACUGAUAAAACCUGGAGGGUGUCAAAGUUCUCCAACAGGCUGAUAAGAAGUUAAUUUCGACUGUGUCAAACACAACCCUUUGUGAUGUGCCAUGCCGGAUGAUGAUUAAAAUUAAGACUGUUCAUGAUGUGCAAUUUAUGCUAGUUAAUUUGUCCUUGAGUGCUUGUUUGUGUUAAUAAUCAAUGAUGACAGAAAACAUGAGCUACUAAUUAAUGUUCUUUUACAUGGUGCAUAACCUAGAGCAGUAAGGAGACUACAUAAUUCUCAAGAAGCUAUCUUCUGGGAGCUUUCACAGCCGUCAUUCCAUAAGUAUGAUCAAUCUUCCACCCCAAGUUGUGGGGACGGUGUAUUUUUCUGUUGAAAGGCCAAAUGUGAAAAGGAAACUUGUUAACAUCUGGAAUAGCAAAUUAGAAGCUCAAGGGGGGACAUGCACAGGUCCACACGAUGGGCAGUCAAAAGAAGAAUUUUUCACCAAUAAAAACUCGAAGUUUCUUAGAUUCUGGUAUAAAAUAGUGGGGACUCCCUAGAGAUUACAGUUGAGUACUUUAGCUAUAUCUCGGAUGUUUUUGCGACUUCUUCUCUAUUUUGUUAAGAUGAUGGACUUCUGUCUUUCCCAAUAUGAGAUGCAGAGCGGUACUGGAAGAGGAACAGAUAAUCUUAAGAAUCAGGAUACUAUACUGAGUGUCACUUCUGGCGUGUUGCAUUUCAUUGGUUCCUGAUACCAUUGAUAAAAACUGCAUUAAGGGUGCCAAAGUUCUCGAACAGGUUGAUAAGAAGUUUAUUCCCAUUGUGGCAAGCACAACACCUGCUAUAAUUGAUCAGGAUUUUUCUCUUUGCAGUCAUUGUUGGUGAUGUAUUUUAUAACGAACCAGUUCGAACCAAAAGAAGGUCUUGCAUUCUCUGGAAGAGACUCUGCUGAGAAUCACCCUUGUGCAAUCCAGUGUCUCCUUCAAAAUUGCUGAUAUUGAAAGUGAGGAUGACGUGCUUUGCACAUGUACCUCUCAUUCUCCAUUGCCAAAAUUGUCCAGUGGGUUUGGGAUUCAACUGACCUCCCUUAACAAAUUGAAUGCAAGUGAUGGUUCAUUCAAGCUCUCAGGAUACAUUUCAGGUCCUGAUUUUUACGCAAUGAGCGUAUAAAGGCCCAAAUUGAUGGAUAAGAGAUUUGAUAGGAAUCUCUUGUGGUAACUAAAUGGUUCUUGAUGUUACUUGUAGAGGCGAUGUGUGAUUCUUGUUUGUUUGUCUAUUGGAGCAUGUCACUGGUUCAUUUUUUUUCCAUGUGAGAUUUGCAAUCAAAUUGGCUGAAAUGAUGUGUAGCAUUUUACUCUCUGUUGGCACCAUUGGAUUGGCACCUCGUCCUUCUCUUUAUUGAGGAUCCUGUCACGAAUCUCUGGACUGUAAGUACCGAUAUUCUUGAGAUCAGUGAAGGCAGGUAUAGAGCUCAGAGUUGCAAAGCUACACUUGAACUUCUUUCCCCACUGCCAAAGAAACUGACUGGAGAGUGCUCUGUCAGAGAGAUAUUCAAUCUUCUUCUGAUAUUCUGUGGGGAAGUGCUCUGGGUCCAGAUUCCUCUGUCAGAUUGAAAGUUUUCAAGUCAGUCAAUCAUGGAUCUCUUGCUCAUUGCACAGCCGGUGUAAACUGGAGAUCUGUUGAUGAUGGAACAUCUUUUGAUAUUGAUGAAGAUAUAUUAAGUUUGAAAAAGUGACUAGAGUACUAAACAAAGUUGCCUUGGAGAUGGUGUUGAACAUAAAGCAGUUGAUAAUAUUUACCAGAUACUAUAUCAAAAGAUUUUGAAAAUUAUCCAGGUGCAAAACUAAGGCAUUGCAGAAGUCAAAAAUUUUGUCAAGAUAUCCAGAAAAAUCUUCAUUGACCAAGGACAUCUUAUGGAUCAUAAAUAGUAGUUGGAGUAGUUCAUUCCGAAUUUUUCAUAUUUAUAAUUUUGACAAUACUCCGGUAAGUUUUUUAGUCUUAUUCGAUAACCAUAGCAUACUAUAACAGGAUUUCUACUUUGUAAUUUUAUUACUACGAAUAUUUAUUUUGUGAAAUAAGUUGUUUGGACCGAUUUUUAAGCAAA
This is a non-coding RNA of Solanum lycopersicum (tomato), 2837 nucleotides long. NCBI's taxonomy places the organism in Eukaryota, Viridiplantae, Streptophyta, Magnoliopsida, Solanales, Solanaceae. The record is from RefSeq and is a predicted model, not a curated record.